Long non-coding RNA from Zophobas morio, 2444 nucleotides. RefSeq lists it as uncharacterized. Lineage: Eukaryota; Metazoa; Arthropoda; Insecta; Coleoptera; Tenebrionidae. The record is from RefSeq and is a predicted model, not a curated record. The transcript is spliced from 2 exons.
GACUAACGAAAGCUCUUAUGCGAACAGAUGUCCAAAAUUUCACUGUUAUCGAAAAAGGGUGUCCAAAAUUUCGCAACUCUCGUUGUGACAGGGGUGCACAAAAUUCUUUGAUCUCCGUACGGGAUUGCCCAAAGCCUCGUCGCUUUCUCGAAGGGAUGUACAAAACUUCGGUUCUCGAUCGCACGAGGGAUGUCCAAACCUCUGACCUGGUAUCGAAGAGGGCACCGAAAGUUAUGGACACCCCUUUCGGGAAACGACAAAACUUUGGGCAACCCGGCAGGGAGGCGACGGUAUUUAAUGACAAAUAAAACAUCCCUUUUGGGGAACAAAAGAAUUUUGGACAGUUGUAGGGAAACGAAGGUUAUUGUUGGACACCCCUGUUGACCGGUAAUAAAGUGUCGAGAUUUGGGCGGCUUUUCCGUGAAGUGAUAAAAUUUUGGACAUCCCUUAAAUGUAAGUAUUGGCUGAUAGACACUAAAAACCUUAAUAACCUUGAAAUUGGGCACUUUUUUGGUACGAAACAGGUAACGUGAAAAACUACUGUAGUGGCCUACUUUGCAUUUAAAUUUUGAAGCAAAGCGCGCCCAACCGACGAGGGCGACGAAGACGCUGUGUAAGCAAGGAGGUGGGGAGAUUGUGGCGUGGACGGCGCGAAGAGCCGGGGGCGACAGUUCGUUCUUGAACACCCAGCAGAGACGAGGUUGUAUUACAAUUUUGUACAGAGCGCUUUCUGUGUGUUUUUCAUUGUUUUAGCUUUAUUAAUUGUGGUUUCACCCCGAUUGUCACCUGGACUUUUCCCCCUUGUCGUUGGAGCCGUCAACCACCGCUGCCGUCUUUCGUGGGGCUGAGAAUCGCUUCUUCGCUCGCGGAGGGAGGAACGUUUGGGGCGGUAAGAACGCUGGCGUUUGGUCGAAUUGGACAGAAUGCCGUUUUGGUGUGGAAAUCGCCAAGCUACGACCCGGGGCCCGCUGUAGAAGAUCUCCAGACGUUCGUCGCACGUAAUCGCCGUUUUCUUAGUUUUGGUUUUCAGUAUCAGUAAAUCGUUGUCGCAGGGCUUUUCAGGGAAUUCAUUAGUUAGGAUGCAAUUCAAUUUCAUUAAUUUUAUACCAAAGGUUUUUGGAUGGUUUUUCCACAGUUGUCACUUUUUUCCAAAUUUUCAUGUUCGGACAAUUUCAAAUCAAAAUUUAAACGUUAAGAGAGAGAGAGCGAGGGCGGGGGCGAGCGUGCAGGUGGCCCACUCGAGAUUAUCAAUGUUUAGGCUAGACGACUUUAAUGGGCGCUAGUCUGGAAAAUCCACGCUCCCAGAGCAUUUUUGUGUUAGUCAGCAGAGAAAUGUCGAUUGACCUCAAAAAUUAUUACUCAAUUAGUAACGGAAAGCUGGACCACUGUUUUAUGUUAUGACUUAUGUGUUACCAUGUGAAUUCUAUAUUUACCAUUUUGAAAAGCACACAUUCAAAGCGCAAUGUGUACCAAACGUUAUAUUUUAUUGUGUUGGUUUGACAUGUUUGUAUGUAUGUUUGUAUGUAUUUUUGUCGACAUUAUUUUAUGUGCAGUUUUCCGUUGCAUUCACAUUUGAAUUAAUUAAUUCUCGAUGGGGUAAAAGUUUUUAACAAAUGUGGCGUACUUAAACUUUGUUGCAAUAUCCACAAUUUUAGUUUGGGUUUGAUAGUUCUUCAAGUUUCAAAAAUAUUAAAACUUAAAUUUGACUAAUUAGAAAAUGUUCGGGGUUGUUUAGCGAGAGCGGGGAACGACCCAAAUUCAAAUUGAUGAUUUUUCUUUCAUUCGUAUGACUGUUUUCUCCCAAUACCGAAUGCCGCCAACACGGGAUAUGCGGAGGGUGUCUUGCUGGUAAAGGAAACUUUAGUGGUGGGAGUCAGUGUCGUGUGUCCCGCGGUGGAUGGAGUAAAGUUACGGGAUAAUACUUGCCGCCGUUGCCUCGGGCGCCGGCGAACACAGGAUGGAGAUAGUGUGACGUUUGAGGUGGCCCAGUGGCUUGGUUGUACGUAGCUGGUUAGAGCGAAAAGACAGUUAAAAAGACAAGGUCUAGAACCGCUAGCGCUACACACCCCCUGUUUCUAAAUUUAUUGCAUUAAAUUGUAUUAUUGUUAUCUGCUGACUGAGAAAGAAUUUCUAACACGCCAAAAUGACAACUGUGGCAAUGCCACCCAAUUACUUUAGCUAGAGCUUUCGCGAACUUUUUUUUUUUGUAUGUCAUUGCUAGGAUUUUGAAAAUAUUAUAACAAAAUUUAUAAUUGUUUUUAUAAAAGAUAGAGAGGUUUUGCAGCUGGGAAAAUAUACUCAUCAAGUUUAUUUCACAGCUUUUGUCCUCUCCCUUAAGAGGAACUAAUUUUCAGCCAAUUGUUUUGUUAUAUGUAUAAACGUAAUUAUUUCAUUUCAGUUCAAAUCUCUUUUUACCAAAAUUGAAUAAAAGAUGUUCCUUUUCA